UACGAAGGGUGCAAACGUUGCUCGGAAUCAUUGGGCGUAAAGCGCACGUAGGCGGCCCUGCAAGUCGGAUGUGAAAUCCCUCGGCUCAACCGAGGACGUGCACCCGAAACUGCAGGGCUUGAGUACUGAAGAGGAUCGCGGAAUUCCCGGUGUAGAGGUGAAAUUCGUAGAUAUCGGGAGGAACACCAGUGGCGAAGGCGGCGAUCUGGGCAGAUACUGACGCUGAGGUGCGAAAGCGUGGGGAGCAAACAGGAUUAGAAACCCCCGUAGUCC
RNAcentral lists this ribosomal RNA (273 nucleotides) under uncultured bacterium. Its description in RNAcentral is "partial 16S ribosomal RNA". It matches the Rfam family "Bacterial small subunit ribosomal RNA", at positions 524 to 796 of the family's 1533-position model. The record is from RNAcentral.